GGUUGACCUCGGAUUAGGUAGGAAUACCCGCUGAACU
RNAcentral lists this ribosomal RNA (37 nucleotides) under Hypoxylon vogesiacum. RNAcentral's name for it is "partial 28S ribosomal RNA". Lineage: Eukaryota; Fungi; Ascomycota; Sordariomycetes; Xylariales; Hypoxylaceae. The record is from RNAcentral.